RNAcentral lists this ribosomal RNA (460 nucleotides) under uncultured bacterium. RNAcentral's name for it is "partial 16S ribosomal RNA". It matches the Rfam family "Bacterial small subunit ribosomal RNA", at positions 338 to 795 of the family's 1533-position model. The record is from RNAcentral.
CCUACGGGUGGCAGCAGUGAGGAAUAUUGGUCAAUGGGCGCGAGCCUGAACCAGCCAAGUAGCGUGAAGGAUGACUGCCCUACGGGUUGUAAACUUCUUUUAUAAAGGAAUAAAGUGAGGCACGUGUGCCUUUUUGUAUGUACUUUAUGAAUAAGGAUCGGCUAACUCCGUGCCAGCAGCCGCGGUAAUACGGAGGGUCCGAGCGUUAUCCGGAUUUAUUGGGUGUAAAGGGAGCGUAGAUGGGUUGUUAAGUCAGUUGUGAAAGUUUGCGGCUCAACCGUAAAAUUGCAAUUGAUACUGGCAGUCUUGAGUACAGGAGAGGUAGGCGGAAUUCGUGGUGUAGCGGUGAAAUGCUUAGAUAUCAGGAAGAACUCCGGUUGCGAAGGCAGCUUACUAGACUGCAACUGACAUUGAUGCUCGAAAGUGUGGGUAGCAAACAGGAUUAGAUACCCCUGUAGUC